This is a long non-coding RNA of Entelurus aequoreus (snake pipefish), 3930 nucleotides long. RefSeq lists it as uncharacterized. The transcript has 3 exons. Lineage: Eukaryota; Metazoa; Chordata; Actinopteri; Syngnathiformes; Syngnathidae. The record is from RefSeq and is a predicted model, not a curated record.
AUUUCAAAAUGGCAGAGCCCGCGGAAAGACCCCCUGGAGUCGACUCCAUUUCCCAAGAAAAGAUGUCAACAGCGCGACUUGUAACAAUUAUAAGGCCGAGGAGGGUUAUUUGAACACACACCAUUCAAUUAUUAUAAAUGAAAGUCACGUUUUUUAACCGCUCCGGUCUCGUCCCAGCGGAAGUGACGCUAGCACGUCAUCAGAAUACAACAGAUCAACACGACGAGAGAGACAUUCUGCCGCUAGACAAAGGUCACCGAGCAGCGACGAAGUUUGCAUUUUCGGUAGAGGUCCAGGGAGCCACGAGGGCGGUGCUAAAGAGACGCGGGUUGCUGACCCCCGGCCUACACCCUAGACUGGCCGCCAGUUCAUCGCAGGACACAUGAAAAAGCCUUCGCCCUCAAAUCAGAGAAGUAUUCAUUUACUCUAACAUGAUUUUUAUUCAGUUCAAUGCAUUUAUUGUCAUUGUCAUAGUGAAUAACACACACACUGCAUAGUAACCAUGUAUCAAAAAUGCGUUAGGUGGUGCAAUCCUGACCCAUGAAACGCGUAAACACAAAGGGUGCCACGAACGAUGCACAAAAUUCACAGUCUGGUAUGGAUCGGUACUUGAGCGGCGCCGUUCGAUACAUUUUUUCAAUACCCAAAAGAGGGAAAUGUUCAUGCCUUUUUUUUAACUUGUAGUUUAUUGAAAUUGUCGUUGUCCACGACAGAAAACGGUCGGCAAGGCGAGUUUAUUUACAGAGCACAGUUCGUACUACAGGCAGGCCAGUCUAGUACCCGCACUCUUUUACUACGAAGCCACGCUGUUGUAACACGUGCAGAAUGUGGCUCGGCGAUAUCUUACUGAAAUAAGCAGGGGCGGCCAUGAAAAAGACGUCGCUUGGAUGGCAACUUUUGUUGCUCCAAAACCUGUAUGUACCUUUCAGCAUUAAUGGUGCCUUCACAAACGUGUAAGUUACCCACUAAUACACCCCCAUAUCAUCAAUCUUUAUUGCAGACCUUAAGAUCCAUUUAAACAUAUAAAAACAGAAUAUAAUACAUUAAAAAACAAAACAAUAAAAACAUACAUUAAAAACAAAACAAAACAAGUUUUCCAUACAAUUACAGACGCUGGGUUUUCAACUUUGCGCCUAGAACAAUCCGGAUGGUUCUUUUCCUCUUUGGACCGGAGGACACGACGUCCACAGUUUCCAAAAACAAUUUGAAAUGUGGACUUGUCAGACCACAGAACACUUUUCCAGUUUGCAUCAGUACAUCUUAGAUGAGCUCGGGCCGAGCGAAGCCGGCGGCGUUUCUGGGUGUUGUUGAUAAAUGGCAUUCGCUUUGCAUUGUAGAGUUUUAACUUGCACUUACAGAUGUAGCGACCAACUGUAGUUACUGACAGUGGUUUUCUGAAGUGUUCCUGAGUCCAUGUGGUGAUAUCCUUUACACGCUGAUGUCGCUUUUUGAUGCAGUACCAACACAAAUACAACUUUGAAACUACGUGCUUUCUGAGAAGAUUACCGUAGUAACUAGUAUAUCAUGCAAAAGCGCAGAUUCCAACCAAUCAGUCCAACUUAGAUGAGCUCAGGCCGAGCGAAGCCAGCGGCGUUUCUGGGUGUUGUUGAUAAAUGGCAUUCGCUUUGCAUUGUAGAGUUUUAACUUGCACUUACAGAUGUAGCGACCAACUGUAGUUACUGACAGUGGUUUUCUGAAGUGUUCCUGAGUCCAUGUGGUGAUAUCCUUUACACGCUGAUGUCGCUUUUUGAUGCAGUACCAACACAAAUACAACUUUGAAACUACGUGCUUUCUGAGAAGAUUACCGUAGUAACUAGUAUAUCAUGCAAAAGCGCAGAUUCCAACCAAUCAGUCCAUCUUAGAUGAGCUCGGGCCGAGCGAAGCCAGCGGCGUUUCUGGGUGUUGUUGCAUUUAUCAACAACACCCAGAAACGCAGAGUUUUGAGGACGAAAAUGAAUUGAUACCAUUUUAGAAUAAGGCUGUAACAUAGCAAAAUGUGGCAAAAAAUGAAGCGCUGUGAAUACUUUCCGGAUGCAGUGUACAGUAUAAAGGGCAGAUCAAUAGAAGUGAUAAUUAGACGUUGCAGUUCAUGGGUGGGAUGUGAGAGAGGGUCACUGCCUGAGGAUACAGACGAGCUGUUGGCAAGUUGUCCUGGCACGUAUAGACCUGUUCCUUCUACCUGAGGGCCGCAGGUGAGGAGCAGGGUGUUGUUGGUCACGCAGGAUGCUGUGCACUCGCCUCAGACAGCAGGUAGUGUAGACUGUGCCCAUCUCUGGAAGACUUGAUUUUUUUUCAGCUGUUUUAAUCACCGAUUAGAGAGUCUGCUGUCAUGGCACACUUAUAAAAGCUCACUCUUACACUAGGAAGUGGAGUCAUUCAUUGCGCUUUACCUGACACAUGAAACGUGACAAAUACGAUCGCUGAGAUGAAACGGAUCAGGCCCGUGAACAGGUUCUAUCCGGAUGAAUUUGCUAAGUAUACAAAUGAGCUGAAAUUUUUCUAUGAAAGAAACUGCUGUUUUAAAUGUGUCCACUAGAUGUGGCAAUGGCAAUUCUUUGUAUCUUUGUAGAUGAUGCUACAUACAGUAUGUACAAAAAAAAUAAAACACAUGAUGUUAGUGCAACAGUCGAAGAAAAUUAGCAAACUACAUAAAUAACAUCCUGUAAUUUGAUUUUGAUUUUUUUUUUUUUAUCUUGUUAGAUUGAAAAUGAACACCAAUGAGUUGACUGAUGAACAUUAUCACGUCAUUUAUUCAGAAAGUAUAAAUAACGACAAUUAAAGGUAGAACACUAUUAACUGCAACAUGUAAGUGUAAAAAAACAACAUGAUUUGUUUAUUUUUGAGAAAUUCUAUUUUUAAACAAAGAAAACAAUCUGAAGUUGUCUUUAUUUUUAAGUUAUCGUGCCGUGAUUUUACCAGUCCGGCCCACUUGGGAGUAGAUUUUUCUCAAUGUGGCCCCCGAUCUAAAAUGAGUUUGACACCUCUGGCCUAGAUAAAUUGGUAAACAUCCUCACAAAUAUUGAUAUAAAGCAUUACCGUAUUUUCCGGACCAUAGGGCACACCGGAUUAUAAGGAGCACUGCCGAUGAAUGGUCUAUUUUUGAUCUUUUUUUCAUAUAUAAGGCGCACCGGAUUAUAAGGCGCAUUAAAGGAGUCAUAAUAUAUAUAUUUUUUUCUAAAUGUAAAAGACUUCCUUGGGGUCUACAUAACAUGUAAUGGUGGUUCUUUGCUCAAAAUGUUGCAUAGAUGAUGUUUUACACAUCAUCUUCAAGCCGCUUCCGGGUGCGCCGUUUUGUGGGCGGUCUUAUUUACGUGGCUCACCUUCGGCAGCGUCUUCUCCCCGUCAUCUUUGUUGUGAAGUGUCAAAAGAUGGAGCUAACUGUUUUAAUGACAUUCAGACUUUACUUCAAUCAAUAACGGAGCAGCAUCUCCUCAUCCAGAAACAACAACACCAGAAAUGUGUCCCGUGAAAAACCGUCCGACCAGAACUUUAGUAACUAAAGUUCCUUGGGUGAAUAAUGGUAACUCACUACACCAGUAUGUUUUAGGGCUUUCAUGGCGAGUUUACUGACUGAAAUAAGUAAUAACUUUACACUGCUUUUUAUUAGAAAUGGCAACAGCAGAAGAUGGAUGUCCCAUAACAAGAAGGUGGAGAAAAAGAAGAAGCUUAUCGACUACGGUGUCGGCACGGACUACAAAGGCGGACCUGCACAAAUUUUCAGGUACCAGAAGGUAAGAAAAGUUUCUUUUGCAUAAUAUUGCGAAACAAAACACCAGAAAAUAUGUCUUACCUUAUACACACACCAUAAUAAUACUCCUAUGUUGAAGCACAGUACAAUCCAUCAAGCGGUGCAGUUUCAUAGCUGACCAAAGUCCUACUAAAACAUUUUGAUAGAUUUUUGAGCGCCGUGUGUAAUGUUCUAUAUUUUCA